UAGGGAAUCCUCCACAAUGGGCGCAAGCCUGAUGGAGCAACACCGCGUGAGUGAAGAAGGGUUUCGGCUCGUAAAGCUCUGUUGUUAAAGAAGAACACGUAUGAGAGUAACUGUUCAUACGUUGACGGUAUUUAACCAGAAAGUCACGGCUAACUACGUGCCAC
This 164-nucleotide ribosomal RNA is filed under the name uncultured bacterium. Its description in RNAcentral is "partial 16S rRNA". It matches the Rfam family "Bacterial small subunit ribosomal RNA", at positions 355 to 511 of the family's 1533-position model. The record is from RNAcentral.